RNAcentral lists this ribosomal RNA (460 nucleotides) under uncultured bacterium. RNAcentral's name for it is "partial 16S ribosomal RNA". It matches the Rfam family "Bacterial small subunit ribosomal RNA", at positions 338 to 795 of the family's 1533-position model. The record is from RNAcentral.
CCUACGGGCGGCAGCAGUGAGGAAUAUUGGUCAAUGGACGAGAGUCUGAACCAGCCAAGUAGCGUGAAGGAUGACUGCCCUAUGGGUUGUAAACUUCUUUUAUAUGGGAAUAAAAUGUUCCACGUGUGGGAUUUUGUAUGUACCAUAUGAAUAAGGAUCGGCUAACUCCGUGCCAGCAGCCGCGGUAAUACGGAGGAUCCGAGCGUUAUCCGGAUUUAUUGGGUUUAAAGGGAGCGUAGGUGGAUUGUUAAGUCAGUUGUGAAAGUUUGCGGCUCAACCGUAAAAUUGCAGUUGAAACUGGCAGUCUUGAGUACAGUAGAGGUGGGCGGAAUUCGUGGUGUAGCGGUGAAAUGCUUAGAUUUCACGAAGAACUCCGAUUGCGAAGGCAGUUCACUGGACUGCAACUGACACUGAGGCUCGAAAGUGUGGGUAUCAAACAGGAUUAGAUACCCCAGUAGUC